This 263-nucleotide unclassified non-coding RNA is filed under the name plant metagenome. RNAcentral describes it as "partial contains small subunit ribosomal RNA, internal transcribed spacer 1, and 5.8S ribosomal RNA". The record is from RNAcentral.
UUUCCGUAGGUGAACCUGCGGAAGGAUCAUUAUUGUAUAACAGAGGUGCGAGGGCUGUCGCUGACCCGAAAGGUCGUGCACGCCCGUGUGCCCUCACACACAUCCAUCUCACCCCUAUGUGCACCACCGCGUGGGUCCCCCUUUGGCUUGUUCGGAGGGGGGUUUACGUUUUCACACGAACUUUGUAUGCAGUGUAGAAUGUAUUUUUUGUUUUUGCGAUCACGCAAUCAAUACAACUUUCAACAACGGAUCUCUUGGCUCUC